Aegilops tauschii subsp. strangulata is the source of this 1600-nucleotide long non-coding RNA. RefSeq lists it as uncharacterized. The record is from RefSeq and is a predicted model, not a curated record. Lineage: Eukaryota; Viridiplantae; Streptophyta; Magnoliopsida; Poales; Poaceae.
UUGUCAGCGCCUACGUUUGGGCGAAGUCGAGCCAGCGGGCGUCGACUGGCUCCCCUCCCCCGGGCAUUAAGAUAGAAGUCUGGCUUUCCUCCUUUAAACGUGGAGGAGCCAUGCACUGCUAAUGUAGUACCUCUUGUUUUUGAUAAUUUCGCAUAAUGCAGUUCAUGACUACAAUGCUUCUUACUUUGAUUUUAUUGCGAAGAUGUCGGAUGAUGAAGACGAUGGGUGAUCGUGAUGGUGACACCCAGAGCUAGAAGGCCAUGAGGAGUUCAAUAUGAGAUCAACAAUGGUAUGAAGAAUAUCUGCUAUUGCGGGCGUGUUAUCUUUGAAGCAACUCAUUGAGAAGUUAGGCUUUAAUAAUGUGACUGAUAAGCCAGCUGCACUUAAAAUGAUGAGAGAUGUAUGUGAAUCUGUUCUUGAAUCCUCCGAAAGGAAGCAAAGCUAGUACAUAGUGGUGGUGAUAUCUUGAAGAGUUACAGAGUGGCCUUGCGGAGGCAGCUUGGGCAGGUUAACAAGGGAUUGCAUUGGAAUUAUUUCUGAUUAAGUAUUAGCUCUGGAUUACCACUAUUGUUGGUGUUAGUCCAGCUGUACGGGUGCCAUAACUACACUAUCUGGGUUGGCACUUCAGUUGAAUUCGGGAUUUAUUCUGGUCUGGUUCUCUCCUUAUGAUUGUCUUCUACUGUAUGACCUGGUAUAUCAUACUUCAAAACAUGUUGGGCCUAUUUUUUUGCGAUACUCAGUGAGGAUCAUGUGCAGGUGUGGGACUUGAUAAAUCUUGGAGAUUAUCUUAGUGCAAGGGAUGAUGUCGAUCCCUCUAGGAUAGGGAUUACUGGUGAAUCACUCGGAGGUACUAUAGAUCAUGAUUGCAUCAUGAUACUGAAUUAAUACAUAGACUUCACUUUUAGAAAACUUAUCCUUUUUAUUUGGAGCUGAAUAAAGGAAUGCGUGCAUUGUUUGCUGCUUUUUGUGGAUACACAGUACAGUGUUGUUGUUCCAAUAAUUGGUGUUCAGGUACACACAGCAGUAAUUUAUCGAUAUGGGUGCACAUAGUUUUGUGAUUUGUCCCAUGUAAGUAAAGCAAUGCUCUUUGUGGUGGCUACAGGGAUUUCAAUGUGCAAUAGAUAAGACAUAUGGCAAGCUAGAGUUGAUAGCAUUAAGCCUUUAUUUGAAGAAGCAAGAAUUGAUUCAGGGAAGAGUGAAAUAGAUGCAGAGGUUGUGAAAAAGGUUUAGGACAAGAUAGCACCUGCUAUGGCUUCACAGUUUGAUGCUCCCUACUAAGUUCCUCCGAUUGCACCACGUCCAAUCCUCCUAAAUGGUGCUGACGACCCUCGUUGCCCAGCCCUUGGUCUACAAGAACCUGCCACAAAAGCUGUUGAGGCUUAUGCAGAAGCUGGUUCUGCGGAUAAGUUCAAGGAUCCAACUAGCUCGACUGGACUCUAGAUCACGGACAAUUAAGUCUUGGCACUUAAUUAGGAUGGCUAAAUUACAUUUGAGUUUCAUUUGAUGGAUAUUUGCUAUGAGAAUUAUGAAUUUUAUGAAUCUACAUAUUAUAUGUAUGGUUUUGAAUAUUGUAAUUGAAUGCAUGCAUUUUUUUUAGGUU